GAUGAACGCUGGCGGCGUGCCUAAUACAUGCAAGUCGAGCGAACGGACGAGAAGCUUGCUUCUCUGAUGUUAGCGGCGGACGGGUGAGCAACACGUGGAUAACCUACCUAUAAGACUGGGAUAACUUCGGGGAACCGUAGCUAAUACCGGAUAAUAUUUUGAACCGCAUGGUUCAAAAGUGAAAGACGGUCUUGCUGUCACUUAUAGAUGGAUCCGCGCUGCAUUAGCUAGUUGGUAAGGUAACGGCUUACCAAGGCAACGAUGCAUAGCCGACCUGAGAGGGUGAUCGGCCACACUGGAACUGAGACACGGUCCAGACUCCUACGGGAGGCAGCAGUAGGGAAUCUUCCGCAAUGGGCGAAAGCCUGACGGAGCAACACCGCGUGAGUGAUGAAGGUCUUCGGAUCGUAAAACUCUGUUAUUAGGGAAGAACAUAUGUGUAAGUAACUGUGCACAUCUUGACGGUACCUAAUCAGAAAGCCACGGCUAACUACGUGCCAGCAGCCGCGGUAAUACGUAGGUGGCAAGCGUUAUCCGGAAUUAUUGGGCGUAAAGCGCGCGUAGGCGGUUUUUUAAGUCUGAUGUGAAAGCCCACGGCUCAACCGUGGAGGGUCAUUGGAAACUGGAAAACUUGAGUGCAGAAGAGGAAAGUGGAAUUCCAUGUGUAGCGGUGAAAUGCGCAGAGAUAUGGAGGAACACCAGUGGCGAAGGCGACUUUCUGGUCUGUAACUGACGCUGAUGUGCGAAAGCGUGGGGAUCAAACAGGAUUAGAUACCCUGGUAGUCCACGCCGUAAACGAUGAGUGCUAAGUGUUAGGGGGUUUCCGCCCCUUAGUGCUGCAGCUAACGCAUUAAGCACUCCGCCUGGGGAGUACGACCGCAAGGUUGAAACUCAAAGGAAUUGACGGGGACCCGCACAAGCGGUGGAGCAUGUGGUUUAAUUCGAAGCAACGCGAAGAACCUUACCAAAUCUUGACAUCCUUUGACAACUCUAGAGAUAGAGCCUUCCCCUUCGGGGGACAAAGUGACAGGUGGUGCAUGGUUGUCGUCAGCUCGUGUCGUGAGAUGUUGGGUUAAGUCCCGCAACGAGCGCAACCCUUAAGCUUAGUUGCCAUCAUUAAGUUGGGCACUCUAAGUUGACUGCCGGUGACAAACCGGAGGAAGGUGGGGAUGACGUCAAAUCAUCAUGCCCCUUAUGAUUUGGGCUACACACGUGCUACAAUGGACAAUACAAAGGGCAGCGAAACCGCGAGGUCAAGCAAAUCCCAUAAAGUUGUUCUCAGUUCGGAUUGUAGUCUGCAACUCGACUACAUGAAGCUGGAAUCGCUAGUAAUCGUAGAUCAGCAUGCUACGGUGAAUACGUUCCCGGGUCU
This 1372-nucleotide ribosomal RNA is filed under the name uncultured bacterium. Its description in RNAcentral is "bacterial SSU rRNA". It matches the Rfam family "Bacterial small subunit ribosomal RNA", at positions 28 to 1381 of the family's 1533-position model. The record is from RNAcentral.